Molecule: ribosomal RNA, 439 nt
Filed under: uncultured bacterium
Lineage: Bacteria
Description: partial 16S ribosomal RNA
Rfam family: Bacterial small subunit ribosomal RNA
Source: RNAcentral
CUACGGGACGCAGCAGUGAGGAAUAUUGCACAAUGGGGGAAACCCUGAUGCAGCAACGCCGCGUGGAGGAUGACGCAUUUCGGUGUGUAAACUCCUUUUAUCAGAGAAGAAAAUGACGGUAUCUGAUGAAUAAGCUCCGGCUAACUCCGUGCCAGCAGCCGCGGUAAUACGGAGGGAGCAAGCGUUAUUCGGAAUCACUGGGCGUAAAGGACGCGUAGGCGGGUUUUUAAGUCAGGUGUGAAAUCCUAUGGCUCAACCAGAGAACUGCACUUGAAACUGGGGACCUAGAGUAUGGAAGGGGCAGGUGGAAUUAGUGGUGUAGGGGUAAAAUCCGUAGAUAUCACUAGGAAUACCGAAAGCGAAGGCGACCUGCUGGGACAUUACUGACGCUGAGGCGUGAAAGCGUGGGGAGCAAACAGGAUUAGAUACCCUGGUAGUC